CACACGACUCUCGGCAACGGAUAUCUCGGCUCUCGCAUCGAUGAAGAACGUAGCGAAAUGCGAUACCUGGUGUGAAUUGCAGAAUCCCGCGAACCAUCGAGUCUUUGAACGCAAGUUGCGCCUGAGGCCACUCGGCCGAGGGCACGCCUGCCUGGGCGUCACGC
This 164-nucleotide ribosomal RNA is filed under the name Elymus brevipes. Its description in RNAcentral is "5.8S ribosomal RNA". It matches the Rfam family "5.8S ribosomal RNA". From Rfam's summary of the family: 5.8S ribosomal RNA (5.8S rRNA) is a component of the large subunit of the eukaryotic ribosome. The record is from RNAcentral. Lineage: Eukaryota; Viridiplantae; Streptophyta; Magnoliopsida; Poales; Poaceae. RNAcentral also lists the same sequence under 1 other name.